GUGUUUUUCCUUUACGUGAUCAAAAAGGGAUAUACGAUUUUUUUUAAAUGCUUUGAUUUUCGUUUUAUAUUUAGAAUAACAAGAAAGUAAAAUCAGUAAGAGACAGAAACGAAAAAAGGUCCGUUUUUUCAUUUUAUUAGACCGGAAGUGGUCAUCAGCAAGUGUGGAGCUAAACAGCAACAAGAUUCUCAGAGGGCGGAGCCAGAGAGCAGUGAUUGUUCAGACCACAGAUAAUAUAGAAGACAGCGCGCUAGCGGAUCUAGUCUGUGUUUAUCUAUGGUUGGCACGUCUGGUAGCAUCUCUGGCUGCUGUUGACCUUGUUUUUGGAGUAAAACACGGUGGAAGCUGAAUUAGUGAGGAUGACUCCUGCUCCUGUCAUCUCUAAGCUCCUCACACAUCUUUACCUGCACAUGAGGAAAAUCACUCCUGUAGAAUGCAGAUGCACAAUGAGGGACGUCUGCAGAGACUGAGAAAGAGUCUCACCACAUCCUGACAUGAGGAAAAAGACUUUAUUGAAGACUACAAUGAGAAAAACUAUCAGACAGCAGACGGCUGCAUUCAAGAGAGGAAGACCAUCAAACAUCCACAUCAGCUGAUGGAGGUCCAAGAGUCUCACCAAACAACCAACCUACAGAGUGAAGACCUCAAAUCUGAUUGGACGGCCUCCUAUUCAGCCACAUGUGAACAAAUGCCUCUAAGCUGAUUUGUUUUCUAAAAUAAAUCUAGUUUGAGUCCUAAUCUAUGCCUGUGUGUUUGCUUCUUUACAC
Molecule: long non-coding RNA, 767 nt
Organism: Amphiprion ocellaris (clown anemonefish)
Lineage: Eukaryota; Metazoa; Chordata; Actinopteri; Pomacentridae
Source: Ensembl